Molecule: ribosomal RNA, 253 nt
Filed under: uncultured bacterium
Lineage: Bacteria
Description: partial 16S ribosomal RNA
Rfam family: Bacterial small subunit ribosomal RNA
Source: RNAcentral
UACGGGGGGGGCAAGCGUUGUUCGGAAUUACUGGGCGUAAAGGGCUCGUAGGCGGAUAUGUCAGUCAGGGGUGAAAUCCCGGGGCUCAACCUCGGAACUGCCCUUGAUACAGCAUAUCUUGAGUCCGAUAGAGGUGGGUGGAAUUCCUAGUGUAGAGGUGAAAUUCGUAGAUAUUAGGAAGAACACCGGUGGCGAAGGCGGCCCACUGGAUCAGUACUGACGCUGAGGUGCGAAAGCGUGGGGAGCAAACAGG